CUCUCUACAGGAUUUGGGAGACAUGGUGGGCCCAUCACAGGACCGGUGGACAGGCUCAACCACUUCCGAGUGGAAAUUUCCUUCACUUGGGAAGGAACCAAUUACAAUAUCGGGCUGUUUGAGGAUGUGAGAAGUUUGAUGUUUAGACGUGGAUCUUUGAAUUCUGACAGAUCUGACUAUUUUGCUGCAUGGGGAGCCUGGGUCUUCUCCUCUGGCA
This 217-nucleotide long non-coding RNA is filed under the name Homo sapiens (human). RNAcentral's name for it is "non-protein coding lnc-UBTFL1-4:1". The record is from RNAcentral. Lineage: Eukaryota; Metazoa; Chordata; Mammalia; Primates; Hominidae.